UACUUUUUUUCCAUUGAGCCACACUCUAGAACUAGAUGACUGGAUACAUGGGCAUUUGGACAAUUAUAACACUUUUUGAAUUUUAUGAAAAAUAUAAACUUAUUCCCAAGUUUCUCAAUCAUUAUAGAUUACUAAAAACAUAAAAGGAAAGAAAAUAAUAUACAAUAAAGAUUCCUGUUCUCUUCAAAGAGAUUCCUUUUCCUGCUGAUUACAAAACCAGAAAUUUACAUUUAUUUUUUGUUUGAUUAUGAACAGGGUUACAAAAGGUUUCUUGUCCAACAGAAAUUAUACAUAUAUUGAACAUGAUCUCAGACAUAGUAAAGAGAGGAAAUCACUUCAUUUUAAAAGUCCUUUGAUUAAAAAAAAUAAUAGAUGCACAUGGCUAAAUAAUUCAAACAGGGAGCUUCCCUGAUCAAGCUAGAGAACACCAUUACCAACUUCUUGCACAUCCUUUCAGAAGUAACCUACACACUGAAGUAUUAUGUGUGUGCCUCUCUGUAUGCAUAGCUUUCUACUCCACCCCUUUUGUUGCUCAAUGGACGCAUACACACUACUCUACACCUUGCUUUUUACACUUAACCAUAUACCUUGGAGAUCACUUACAUGAGCACACACAAAUUCAUCCAUCUUACUUCAUGGCUAGAGCACAAUUUAUCUAACUAUUCCCCUACUAAUGGACAUUUAAGUAGUUUCCAGUCUCCUGCUACUAUGAACAAUGCUGUCAUGACUAUGCUCCAUAUAUGUCCUUGUAUAUAGGUAAAAUACAUAAAGAAUCAUUUUCUAGAAGUGAAAAUGCUGACUAAAAAGGUUUGUGCAUUUUAAAUGUUGAUGAAUACAGAUGGUCCCCAACUUAUGAUGGUUUGACUUAACAUUUUUUGACUUUAUGAUGGUGUGAAAGCAAUAUGCAUUCAGUAGAAACCUUACUUACAAUUUUUAUCUUUUUGCAGGCUAGCAAUAUGCAUACUGUCUCAUGAUGCUGGAUACACAGUGGCAGCAAGCUGCAGUUGGCAAUGUGAUCACAAAGGCAAUCAACCAAUACUGUACUCUAUAGUAUACUGUAUUCAAUAAAUUACAUGACAUAUUCAACAGUUUAUUAUAAAAUAGCCUUUGUGUUAGAUGAUUUUGCCCAACUGUAUGCUAAUGUUUAUCAGGAAGUUACCCCACUGUAAGUCAAGGAACAUCUGUUUUGCCAAAAUGUUCUCCUAAGGGAUACAAUCAAUUUAUAUUCCUAUCAACAAUGUCUGAGAAUGUUUUUCUGUAUAUAUUCUCAACAACCCAGUAUGUAUUAUCAAGCCGUUUGAUACUUGCUAAUAAAUGAUGAAAAACACUAUUUUGAGGAAGAAUCAAUAUCGUAAAAAUGGCCAUUCUGCCCAAGGUAAUUUAUAGAUUCAAUGCCAUCCCCAUCAAGCUACCAAUGACUUUCUUCACAGAAUUGGAAAAAAACUACUUUAAAGUUCAUAUAGAACAAAAAAAGAGCCUGCAUUGCCAAGUCAAUCCUAAGCCAAAAGAACAAAGCUGGAGGCAUCAUGCUACCUGACUUCAAACUAUACUGCAAGGCUACAGUAACCAAAACAGCAAGGUACUGGUACCAAAACAGAGAUAUAGACUAAUGGAACAGAACAGAGCCCUCAGAAAUAAUGCCACAUAUCUACAACUAUCUGGUCUUUGACAAACCUGACAAAAACAAGAAAUGGGGAAACGAUUCCCUAUUUAAUAAAUGGUGCUGGGAAAACUGGCUAGCCAUAUGUAGAAAGCUGAAACUGGAUCCCUUCCUUAUACCUUAUACAAAAAUUAAUUCAAGAUGGAUUGAAGACUUAAAUGUUAGACCUAAAACCAUAAAAACCCUAGAAGAAAACCUAGGCAGUACCAUUCAGGACAUAGGCAUGGGCAAGGACUUCAUGUCUAAAACACCAAAAGCAAUGGCAACAAAAGCCAAAAUUGACAAAUGGGAUCUAAUUAAACUCAAGAGCUUCUGCACAGCAAAAGAAACUACCAUCAGGGUGAACAGGCAACCUACAGAAUGGGAGAAAAUUUUUGCAAUCUACUUAUCUAACAAAGGGCUAAUAUCCAGAAUCUACAAAGAACUUAAACAAAUUUACAAGAAAAAAACAAACAACCCCAUCAACAAGUGGGCAAAGGACAUGAACAGACACUUCUCAAAAGAAGACAUUUAUGCAGCCAAAAGACACAUGAAAAAAUGCUCAUCAUCACUCGCCAUCAGAGAAAUGCAAAUCAAAACCACAAUGAGAUGGUAAUCUCACACCAGUUAGAAUGGCGAUCAUUAAAAAGUCAGAGAACAACAGGUGCUGGAGAGGAUGUGGAGAAAUAGGAACACUUUUACACUGUUGGUGGGACUGUAAACUAGUUCAACCAUUGUGGAAGUCAGUGUGGCGAUUCCUCAGGGAUCUAGAACUAGAAAUACCAUUUGACCCAGCCAUCCCAUUACUGGGUAUAUGCCCAAAGGAUUAUAAAUCAUGCUGCUAUAAAGACACAUGCACACGUAUGUUCACUGUGGCACUAUUCACAAUAGCAAAGACUUGGAACCAACCCAAAUGUCCAACAAUGAUAGACUGGAUUAAGAAAAUGUGGCACAUAUACACCAUGGAAUACUAUGCAGCCAUAAAAAAUGAUGAGUUCAUGUCCUUUGUAGGGACAUGGAUGAAGCUGGAAACCAUCACUCUCAGCAAACUAUUGCAAGGACAAAAAACCAAACACCGCAUGUUCUCACUCAUAGGUGGGGAAUUGAACAAUGAGAACACACGGACACAGGAAGGCGAACAUCACACACCGGGGCCUGUUGUGGGGUGGGGGGAGGGGGGAGGGACAGCAUUAGGAGAUAUAUCUAAUAUAAAUGACGAGUUAAUGGGUGCAGCACACCAACAUGGCGCGUGUAUACGUAUGUAACAAACCUGCACGUUGUGCACAUGUACCCUAAAACUUAAAGCAUAAUAAUAAAAAAAAAAAGAAAAUCUAGACAUUCCUAUCAAUGUCUAGAUUGUAACAUUUUUGAAAGCAAACAAAAAAAAAAGAAAAACACUAUUUUGUAGCUUUAAAGUGCAUUUCUUUUAUUAUGAGUUAAGAUUCAAUAUUUUUCAUAUGUUUAAAUUAAAGGUCACCUGUAUUUCCUUU
Homo sapiens (human) is the source of this 3129-nucleotide long non-coding RNA. RefSeq lists it as uncharacterized. NCBI's taxonomy places the organism in Eukaryota, Metazoa, Chordata, Mammalia, Primates, Hominidae. The record is from RefSeq and is a predicted model, not a curated record. The transcript is spliced from 2 exons.